RNAcentral lists this ribosomal RNA (276 nucleotides) under Triticum aestivum (bread wheat). RNAcentral's name for it is "partial small subunit ribosomal RNA". The record is from RNAcentral. Lineage: Eukaryota; Viridiplantae; Streptophyta; Magnoliopsida; Poales; Poaceae.
UUCGAAAGGGGAGUUGUGCUAACCAAUGAUAACCUUGCAUGUCGCAAUUGGCAAGGAAGCAACAAGUGCAGCUGUCGUACUGAUGAUGAGACCAUCAAACACCUCUUUUUCCAAUGUAAAUUUGCAUGUUCUACGUGGUCAGUCAUCCAAAUAACUUCUAAUUUGUAUCCACCCACAAGUGCAGCCAAUAUUUUUGGUUAUUGGUUGGACGGUAUUCCAAAUAGGUUCCGAACGCUGAUGAGGGUAGGAGUGUAUGCCUUAUUAUGGACACUCUAA